This 301-nucleotide ribosomal RNA is filed under the name uncultured bacterium. RNAcentral's name for it is "partial 16S ribosomal RNA". It matches the Rfam family "Bacterial small subunit ribosomal RNA", at positions 509 to 807 of the family's 1533-position model. The record is from RNAcentral.
CAGUCGCCGCGGUAAUACGGAGGGUGCAAGCGUUAAUCGGAAUUACUGGGCGUAAAGCGUGCGUAGGUGGUGGUUUAAGUCCGUUGUGAAAGCCCUGGGCUCAACCUGGGAAUUGCAGUGGAUACUGGGUCACUAGAGUGUGGUAGAGGAUAGUGGAAUUUCCGGUGUAGCAGUGAAAUGCGUAGAGAUCGGAAGGAACAUCUGUGGCGAAGGCGACUAUCUGGGCCAACACUGACACUGAGGCACGAAAGCGUGGGGAGCAAACAGGAUUAGAUACCCGUGUAGUCCCUGUCUCUUAUAC